Molecule: transfer RNA, 73 nt
Filed under: Stegodyphus mimosarum
Lineage: Eukaryota; Metazoa; Arthropoda; Arachnida; Araneae; Eresidae
Rfam family: tRNA
About the family: Transfer RNA (tRNA) molecules are approximately 80 nucleotides in length. Their secondary structure includes four short double-helical elements and three loops (D, anti-codon, and T loops).
Source: Rfam by way of RNAcentral
GCCUUUGUGGUGCAAUGGUCAGCACACUCGGCGCGUAUUCGAGAGGUCUGAGGUUCGAGUCCCGGGGAGGGCA